CGCAUGGUGCAGGGGCAAAAACUCCGGUGGUGUGAGAUGGGCCCGCGUCUGAUUAGGUAGUUGGUGAGGUAACGGCUCACCAAGCCGACGAUCAGUAGCCGACCUGAGAGGGUGACCGGCCACAUUGGGACUGAGAUACGGCCCAGACUCCUACGGGAGGCAGCAGUCGGGAAUAUUGCGCAAUGGAGGAAACUCUGACGCAGUGACGCCGCGUAUAGGAAGAAGGUUUUCGGAUUGUAAACUAUUGUCGUUAGGGAAGAAAAAAGACAGUACCUAAGGAGGAAGCUCCGGCUAACUACGUGCCAGCAGCCGCGGUAAUACGUAGGGAGCAAGCGUUAUCCGGAUUUAUUGGGUGUAAAGGGUGCGUAGACGGGUAAUCAAGUUAGUUGUGAAAUCCCUUGGCUUAACUGAGGAACUGCAACUAAAACUGGUUAUCUUGAGUACAGGAGAGGUAAGUGGAAUUCCUAGUGUAGCGGUGAAAUGCGUAGAUAUUAGGAGGAACACCAGUGGCGAAGGCGACUUACUGGACUGUAACUGACGUUGAGGCACGAAAGUGUGGGGAGCAAACAGGAUUAGAUACCCUGGUAGUCCACACCGUAAACGAUGGAUACUAGGUGUAGGAGGUAUUAAGCCUUCUGUGCCGUCGCAAACGCAGUAA
Molecule: ribosomal RNA, 658 nt
Filed under: uncultured bacterium
Lineage: Bacteria
Description: bacterial SSU rRNA
Rfam family: Bacterial small subunit ribosomal RNA
Source: RNAcentral